GUGCUUCCUUCGGCAGCACAUACACUAAAAUUGGAACACUAAAGGAAGAUUAGCAUGGCCCCUGCUCAAGGAUGACACGCAAAUUUGGGAAGUGUUCUGUAUAUUG
Molecule: small nuclear RNA, 106 nt
Filed under: Phascolarctos cinereus (koala)
Lineage: Eukaryota; Metazoa; Chordata; Mammalia; Diprotodontia; Phascolarctidae
Source: RNAcentral